RNAcentral lists this unclassified non-coding RNA (348 nucleotides) under soil metagenome. RNAcentral describes it as "partial contains 5.8S ribosomal RNA, internal transcribed spacer 2, and large subunit ribosomal RNA". The stretch from base 1 to 120 matches the Rfam family "5.8S ribosomal RNA", at positions 35 to 154 of the family's 154-position model. The record is from RNAcentral.
GAUGAAGAACGCAGCGAAAUGCGAUAAGUAAUGUGAAUUGCAGAAUUCAGUGAAUCAUCGAAUCUUUGAACGCACAUUGCGCCCGCCAGUAUUCUGGCGGGCAUGCCUGUCUGAGCGUCAUUUCAACCCUCAUGCCCCUAGGGCGUGGUGUUGGGGAUCGGCCAAAGCCCGCGAGGGACGGCCGGCCCCUAAAUCUAGUGGCGGACCCGUCGUGGCCUCCUCUGCGAAGUAGUGAUAUUCCGCAUCGGAGAGCGAUGAGCCCCUGCCGUUAAACCCCCAACUUUCCAAGGUUGACCUCAGAUCAGGUAGGAAUACCCGCUGAACUUUAGCAUAUCAAUAAGCGGAGGA